Molecule: transfer RNA, 69 nt
Filed under: Dipodomys ordii (Ord's kangaroo rat)
Lineage: Eukaryota; Metazoa; Chordata; Mammalia; Rodentia; Heteromyidae
Rfam family: tRNA
About the family: Transfer RNA (tRNA) molecules are approximately 80 nucleotides in length.
Source: Rfam by way of RNAcentral
GGGAAUGUGGCUUAGUGGUAGAGUAUUUGCCUACCAUGUAUAAAGCCUGGGUUUGAUUCCUCAGUACCA